This is a long non-coding RNA of Solanum tuberosum (potato), 275 nucleotides long. RefSeq lists it as uncharacterized. NCBI's taxonomy places the organism in Eukaryota, Viridiplantae, Streptophyta, Magnoliopsida, Solanales, Solanaceae. The transcript is spliced from 2 exons. The record is from RefSeq and is a predicted model, not a curated record.
CAGGUCUGCCACCACAUCAGACCACAUCAUUUCUGGCUACAACACAUUCAGUCCCACUAUUUCAGCCAACAUUGCCGGCGCCUCCAAUAUUUAGCAUGCAUCACAGUCAUCUCAAUCAGUUGACUCGGCAUCACAUUCAGCUUCAACAGAACAAGACUCAUCACAACAAGUUCCAAUAGUUCAAGCUCCAUUCAAAAAGCGUAUUGGGCGUGAAUCACAGUCAUAUUGGACUAUAGAAGCAAUAGAUUCAGAAAACAAUGUCAAAAGGCUCAAAG